GACGAACGCUGGCGGCGUGCCUAACACAUGCAAGUCAACUUGAGGGAAGGAGCAAUCUGACCUGAUGGUGGCGCAAGGGUGCGUAACGCGUAAGUAACUUGCCCCAAGGUAAGGAAUAACGUCGAGAAAUCGGCGCUAAUACCUCAUAAUGCAGCGGAUCCGCAUGGAUAUGUUGUUAAAGGUUUACCGCCUUGGGGAUAGGCUUGCGUCUGAUUAGCUAGUUGUGUGGUAAUGGCACACCAAGGCUACGAUCAGUAACUGGUCUGAGAGGAUGAUCAGUCACACUGGAACUGAGACACGGUCCAGACUCCUACGGGAGGCAGCAGUGAGGAAUA
Molecule: ribosomal RNA, 335 nt
Filed under: uncultured bacterium
Lineage: Bacteria
Description: bacterial SSU rRNA
Rfam family: Bacterial small subunit ribosomal RNA
Source: RNAcentral